This 80-nucleotide transfer RNA is filed under the name Termitomyces sp. J132. It matches the Rfam family "tRNA". From Rfam's summary of the family: Transfer RNA (tRNA) molecules are approximately 80 nucleotides in length. Their secondary structure includes four short double-helical elements and three loops (D, anti-codon, and T loops). The record is from Rfam by way of RNAcentral. Lineage: Eukaryota; Fungi; Basidiomycota; Agaricomycetes; Agaricales; Lyophyllaceae. RNAcentral also lists the same sequence under 2 other names.
GGCGCUGUAGUGUAGCGGUUAUCACUCGAGAUUCUGAAUCUUGAUUUCUCGAAACCCAGGUUCGAUUCCUGGCAGUGCCU